GAGCUCGUCGGGCCCGUGGGAGCUCGUCGGGCCCGUGGGAGCUCGUCGGGCCCGUGGGAGCUCGUCGGGCCCGUGGGAGCUCGUCGGGCCCGUGUGGAGUUCAGGACCCUGUGUGAGCUCCAGGUGGCCCGGGGAGCUGAGGGGCCCCAGGCGAGUUCAGGUGCCCGUGGGAGCUCAGGGAUCCUGUCUGGAGCUCAGGGCUCUGUGGGAGCUCCAGGUGACCCGGGGGAACUCGGGGGGAGGGCAUGGGAGCUCGGGAGUAAAUGGUAAAAUGGAUCCGAGUCUCAAAGUACAUUCUUUCUGUGCCUGCUAAAUCUUUCUGCAUUUCCUGUAACCCUCUCACUUCACAGGUCAUUCUGCAUCAAGUCGUGUCUUCUCCGUGAAAUAUAUUUCUGUACAUGAGCCAGUGGUAAUUUCUAAGAUAUUUCUCCUCAGACAGUCUCCAAACCUUCCUCAAUUAUCUGCACUUCUAUUCUGGCAGCUCUUUGUCGUUGUUUAGUUGCAUUGAUAUGAGUGUUUAAGUAUUUCAUGUGCAAUUACAAGGAGUCAUGUGAGAGAGGGCCAUUUGCUUCAUAGAAUUAUGAAAUCAUUUGGGUUGGAAAAGCCUCUGAGCCCAUUGAGUCCAACCACUCCCCUGGCACUGCCAAGGCCUCCACUACCCCGUGUCUCCAAGUGCCACGUCCACACGGCUGUUAAACCCCCCAGGGAUGGGAACUCCACCCUUGCCCUGUGCAGCCUGGGCCAGGGCUGGACAGCCCUUUCCAUGAGGAAUUUUCUCCAUGUCCAACCUAAACCUCCCCGGCACAGUUUGAGGCUGUUUCCUCUUGUCCUGUCACUUGGAGUGUUACUUGGAGAAAAAAGAUAAAUCCCAGUUGCCAACAGGGAAGUACUGUAGCACUUACCUGAGGUACUUGUACAACUGCCUGAUGCAUGGCAAAUGUCCUGAACCUAUGCUCCAGGACCACACAUGUUCCUGGGAAGUCUGCCUCAAUGUCAUGAUACUCACUGUAAGAGUACUUCAUCGCUAGAGUCACUCACUGUCACAUAUUGCAGCUGUUUUGCUUUGUACAAGUACUUAAACAUUAACUGGGCCUUUCUGAGUGGGGCAUGAUCCCCUCGUGCAGAGGUAAAGCAGCUCCUAGAAUGUGGAAAGUCAAGGUGCAAAUCCAUGACCUAAAAUAAGAAAAUGGGAUCUCUACCACAAGUAAGACUGAGCAAUCACCAUUUGCAAGUAUCACAGUCAUCCAGAACAGGGAAAACUGGUAGAAGUUCCCAUUCCACUAAUAGAUAGUACAGUUUUUAAUUAAAAAAAGAAAGGUUUAAUGUUGGACCUGGCAGUGCUGCAUUAGUGGUUGGACCCCAAGGUCUCGGAGGGCUUUUCCAACCUCAGCAAUUCUGUGAUGCUGUGAUACUGUUACUACAGACAUUGGUAACAAGUCUCUCUCCAUCCUUCUUUUCAGCCCCCUUUAAGUAUUGAAAGGCCACAAUAAGGUCUCCCUGGAGCCUUUUCUUCUCCAGGCGAACCCCCCCAGCUGUCCCAGCCUGGCUCCAGAGCAGAGGGGCUCCAGCCCUCGGAGAAUCUCCAUGGCCUCCUCUGGACCUGCUCAAGCUGGUCCAUGUCUUUCUUGUACUGAGGAGCUCCAAGCUGGAUGCAGUGCUCCAGGUGGGAUCUCACCAAACUUGAGUACAGGGGAAGAAUUACCUCUCUCGACCUGCUGGCCACACUGUUGCUGGCACAGGCCAGGUGCCAUUGGCCUCUGGCCCACCUGGGUACACCUGAGCUCCUGUUCAGCCACUGUCACCAGCACCUCUAGGUUCUUUUCCAGCUUUCCAGCUGCUCUAUCCCAAGGCUUGAGCAUUUCAUGGGCUUGUUGUGACCCAAGGGCAGGACCUUGUGGAUCCUCACACCAUUGGCUUUGGCCCAUCGAUUCCCUCCCAUUGAUCCAGCCUUCCCAGACACCCCUGCAGAGGUUUCUGCCCUCUGAUCCACACUCCCACCCAGUCUGGUGUCCUCUGCGAACUGGCUGAAGUGCCCUCAAUCCCCUUGUCCAGAGAGUCAAUAAAGACAUGAAACAGGACUGGCCCCAGCACUGAGCCUGGGGAACCCCACUGGUGCCCAGCCCCGUUUCCCACCACUCUCUGGGACUGGCAUCAGCUGGGUGUUACCGAGCAAACAGUGCGCCUGUCCAGGCCAGGAGCAGCCAGGUUCUCCUGGAGAAUGUUGUGGGAAAUGCUGUCAGAGCUUUCCUAGAGUCCAGGCAGACACAUUCACAGCCUUUCCCUCAGCCACUGAGGGGUGACCCUGUCACAGAGGGAGAUGGGGUUAGUCAGGCAGUACCUGCCUGUUACAACCCCAGGCUGGCUGGGCCUCAUCCCCUGGUUGUCCUUCUUUUGAUGCAGCCCAGGACAUGAUUGACUCUCUGGGCUGCAGGUGCAUGUUGUCAGCUCACAUCCAGUUUUUCAUCCACCAGCACCCCCAAGUCCUUCUUCUCAGGGCCACUCUCCAUCCACAGAAUCAUGGAAACACAGAAUGGUUUGGGUGGGAAGUAACCUUAAAGAUCAUCUCAUUUCACCCCCUUGCCAUAGGCAAGAACACCUUUCACUGGACCAGUUUUCUCAGAGCCCCAUCCAACCUGGCCUUGGACACUUCUAGGGAUGGGGCAGCUGCAGUUUCUCCAGGAAAUCCAUUCCAGUCUCUCACUACACUCACAGGCAAAGGUUUCUUUCCAAUAUCUCAUGUAUAUCCCUGCUUUUCUAGUAGGAAUCCCUUCCCCCUUGUCCUGUCCCUCCAUCCCUUGUCCAGAGUCCCCCUCCAGCUCUCCUGGAGCCCCUUUAGGCACUGGGAAGGCUCUAAGGUCUCCCUGGAGCCUCCUCUUCUCCAGGCUGGAAGGUCCCAGCUCUCCCAGCCUUGCUCCAGAGCAGAGGGGCCUGUUCUCUCUCUCUCUCUUCCAGGCAGCGAGUGAUCACCUCUCUUGCAGCCCUUUGUUGAGCCCAUUCUGGCUCUGCUGCAGGCCUGAGCUGGGGCAGGCUGUCAGCACACUGCUCACUGUCUGUGUUUCUCCCCAGGCCUACGGCAUCGUCUGGAAGGCAAUCGACCGCAGGACGGGAGAAAUAGUUGCUGUUAAAAAGAUUUUUGAUGCUUUCAGAAACAGGACGGAUGCUCAGAGAACAUUUCGAGAGAUUAUGUUCCUGCAGGAAUUUGGAGAACAUCCAAAUAUCAUCAAGCUGCUCGAUGUUAUCCAAGCUGAGAAUGACAAGGAUAUCUACCUCAUCUUCGAGUCCAUGGAGACAGAUUUACAUGCUGUUAUUAAGAAGGGGAAUUUGCUGAAAGACAUCCACAAGUGUUACAUUCUCUACCAGCUCCUGAAGGCAACUAAAUUCAUCCACUCGGGGAAUGUCAUUCACAGGGAUCAGAAGCCCUCCAACAUCCUGCUGGAUGCAGAGUGCUGUGUGAAGCUGUGUGACUUCGGGCUGGCCCGUUCCCUGUGCCAGCGGGGCGAGGAGCAGCCCAGCCCCGCGCUGACCGAGUACGUGGCCACGCGCUGGUACCGCGCCCCCGAGAUCCUGCUGGCCUCUCGCAGUUACACUAAAGGUGUAGACAUGUGGAGCAUUGGCUGUAUUCUGGGAGAGAUGCUGCUUGGGAAGCCUCUUUUCCCUGGAACAUCAACAAUGAAUCAGAUAGAGCAGAUCCUAAGGGUCAUCCCUGCUCCGUCCCCAGAAGAUAUUGUGGCUCUGCAGUCAGAGUACAAGGCCUCAGUUAUUAACCACAUGAGUUCCCGGCAGCGAGUAACAUUUGAGGAGAUUUUCCCAUCCUCUACUCCACUCCCUGCCUUGGAUCUGCUGAAGAAACUUCUGGUAUUUAACCCUGACAAACGGCUCACAGCAGAGGAGGCUCUGCAGCAUCCUUAUGUGAACAGAUUCCAUUGUCCUUCCAGGGAGCCCUCUUUGGAUUAUAAUGUGGUCCUUCCUUUGGGUGAUGAUGUCCAGCUGUCUGUGGCAGAAUAUCGAAAUAAAUUAUAUGAGUUGAUCCUUGAAAAAAAAUCAAGGAGCCUUCUAAAGGAGCGAGGGCAGAGAGAAAACCUUCAGCUGAGCCAGUCUGAAUCCAGCCCACUUCUCCCAAAUUUCAGCCCAGUGACUGUACCCACCAGAAAAGUCCAGCAAGAACCAGCACCUCCUCUCCUAAACCCUUCACAUGUGCAUGCAGGAGCCACAGCAGGAGUCCAGCCAACAGGAUCCAGCCAGAGCAAGGAUUUGGCCAGAACUGUGUGUCAGAGAUCACAGAUCAGUGUGAUGAUGUACAACCCCAUCACACACACCACUGUGCAGAGAAAUGCAAAUCCUGGUGCUGGGAUCAGGAACUUUUCUGCACCACCUCAACAACCCAGAAUCUCCACCAAUGGGAAACUAGGGAGACAAAUCUCAUGGACAAACACUGGGCUCCCUCCUACAAGUGUGCAGAACCUUUACAAUAAUCCCAGAAACUCUCAGUGUCACAGCAAAGAUGUUCGUCCCCUUCUGAAGCCCAGUAAAAAGAUGUUCCAGAUCACUGCCAAUGUGGGAGCUGCGGGUGAUCCAAGAGCAUCGAUGGGCAGCUACUCCCAGGCCUAUGGAACCAUCAGUAAAUCUGCACUGCAGAGUCUCCCCAUAACAAAGGCCUCCCAAAACCCCGAGCAGUGAAUGUGGAGAUGUUCCAGCCAGAAAGCAGAGUUCCAUGAGGUACUAUUGCUGAGACAUCGUGAAGGUGUUACCAGGCUACAGUGGGACUACAGGAAACUUUAUAUUCCUGUUUUAAUGCGGAUUUUGGAUACAUUCUCCUCAUUAACUUGAAGUUCUUGUCUGUGUCCCUGAAGUUUUACUCCACCUGUGAUAAAUGAUUGUUAUUCCAGAACAUUGGAACUACAGUUACCAAGGGGAUUCAGGUGCUGAAUUCCAGCAUGUGUGGUCACUGGAGUCUGGUAACAGGAGGGAGCCAGGAAGUGCAGCUCACAGGGAAGUCCAGGCUUACUGUGGUAUAUUCAUAGUACAGGUGUUUCCUGCCUGUCUGAGGUCCAGGGAGAUGUAGGAGUGGCAGUGCCAGGGGAGCCUGUGGUGUGGGCAGAGCUCUGAGCAGUGGGUUGGCUCCCGAGAGUCCAAAUGCUGGUUGUGGGGCAUCUGAGAGAGAAGGGCACCCAAUUCCAGCUGUGAGCUCCCUUGGAUCCUGGCCCCUCACAGCAUGACAGCCAAGGGCCUCUGUGACCCCCAUCCCAGACUGAGAGUAGCUGGGCUGGAACACCAACAGGUUGUUCUUACAGUGACUUUAGUUGCUGCCAAGGGAAUUGGUUCUUCUGCAAUAGUUGGUUGUGCCACCUGCAGCAACUGGUCACCCACCUGUCACCAGCAGAGCUGUGUCACUCGGGCUCUGGGCAGAAGCACAUGUCCCACCUGAGCAAGAGAAAAUCCUAAACAAUAAGUACAGCAAAAUUCUAAAUUGCUAAUGUAGCCUGUCACUGCAGAAAUAAAUUCCAAAUUUGUCUGUUACAGAACGAGGCUGGAGCAGGUGGGUUUGGGAAGGGCUGGGGAGGUGUGGAAUGAUGUAAGAAUUGCACAAACAGAGCUAGAAUAUAUAUGCACAUACCUCUCUAGAGUAAAAGAAUCUGUAUUGGCUGACAGAGAACAACUGUCGGCCACUGCAGUUCAUUUUGGGACCCAUCAAUAACUCCAUCUGAUUGAUUAAUCAGAGCAGACAAAAUAACUCAUUUAUGGCUGUGGACAUGUAUAAAAGAUCAUGGGCUGUAUCUGAGAUGGGUCACAAUGUUCAGUUUUAAACUAAAAGAGGAGAUAUUUAGAAAAGAUAUUGUGAAGAAAUUCUUCCCUGUGAGGGUGCUGAGUUCCUGGCACAGGUUUCCCAGAGAAGCUGUGGCUGCCCCAUCCCUGGAAGUGUCCAAGGCCAGGCUGGAUGGGGCUUGGAGCAACCUGGGACAGUGGGAGGUGUCCCUGCCCAUGGCAGGGGGUGGGGCCAGAUGGUCUUUAAGGUCUCUUCCCACACAAACCAUCCUGUGAUUUUGUGAUAAUAUGAAAUGGGUAUAAGAAAUCCAUUUCUACUUUUUUCCCAGUUUUGGCCCCUUUUCCCAUCCUUUUUUUCCUCUUUUGUCCUCUCCUAAUUUUAUUGCUCAGUGUACCUCCUCAUGUUACAACAAAGCUGCUCUUGAUUCCUGCAGAUUUUUACCACCAUUUGUGUUAAAAUGGAAAUCAGCCUUAAUUUUUUUUUUCAGAUCAGACAGUCAUUCUGCACAUCCAGUUCCCAAGGUUUUCAGCAAACAGUAAAAUAAUCAUUAACUGUUAUAAAUACCUAAGUCCAGCCUGCUGCCCUGGGAGCUGGCAUCCCAGGAAAAGUUCAAGUUUCAGAGACUCCACUAGUGCCGUGGGCAGCCUAUGUCAGGACUGGACAAUCCUUUCCAGGGUUUUGGAAGGAAUUUUCCAAAUAUCCAACCUAAACCUCCCCUGGCACAACUUGAGGCUGUUUCCUCAGGCCUCCUAAAACCAGGCCCAUCUCCAUCAAUAGCACUUCAAUGUCCUUUUUAUGGCCUUUUCAGCUGCUCCUUCAGCUGAGUCCUUAAAGCAAAUAAUUCCCUACACACAGGAGAACAAACCUCAAGCAAACCAGAUCCCACAGGCUCAGGAACUGCUAAAUACAAAAGCUGGGCCUGUGCUGCUGGACAAGACCAGAGUCACAGAUUAGGGCCAAAAGUUGGUUACAAUAUUUUUUUGGUCUGUAAACCUUCAAAAAGAUGCCUCCUGUGACUGAUUCAUUGUGAGCUACAGAGAAAGGAUAACUGUACCUGAGAAACAACAGGCUUUAAACACUUUUUCCAGUUAAUGUAUGUGUGUCUCUGUGUGUAUUUAUCUUUCCUGGCCUGAACUCAAGUAUUGAAUUUUCUAUUUUUUAUUCUUUUCUUCCGAAAGUAGAAUUGUUUUGUCAGCUGAAAAAUAUUCCUUGGGUGUAACAGAGACUUUCAGUUUUGUACAGUAACAGAACAGAGACUUCUUUUAAAAAAAGAGACUUCUGUGUUUUAAGCAUGUUGGCAGUUCAAUAAUUUUAUUAGGAACAUAGUGUAAUAAGGUUGUUUGAUACCACCUGACUUUAUGGAGCAAACUGUGCCGUGGGAGGCUCAUGCUGGACAUGUUUCUGCUCACUUACCCAGAAGAGCAUUGCCUGUGGGGUUUGUAGCCAUCAUAAACAAGUUUCUUCCUCCUUCCCCUGUGACAGUCAGUGAUUAAAUGGAAUUAAAUAGGAUUUUUACGAUCAUUUUUUGGUCUUGAAGGUCCCCAGGAUUUUGGGCAUGAAUUUUCCCAUCUUCUUGUCUUUGGCAUCUGUGUCAUAUUCCUCUUCACUCGGACUCGUGUGUUCGUCCUUCUUGCAGAACACCUCGAACCUGCUGUAGACUCGCUUCUCCUUCCGCAUGUUCUCCAUUUUUUUCAGGAGGGUGUCUCUGUCCUCCGACGGCUGCCGCUGGAAGUUCCGUUUCUGGCUCCCAAAGCUCUCCGACCUGUGGAUGUUGCAGCUUUUCUCCUUCUCCCCUUUUCUUUCCAAGCUCAUGGUUGACCUGGAGAGGUCAGGGUUGCUGGUGGACGGCAGCUGCUUGGCCAGCUCGGCUCUGUUCUUCUGGCUGUUGGCAGAGAUCUGCUCCAGGAUCACCUUGGUGUCGUCACGCAGGUUGCUGCUGUACAGGAUGUUGGCUGUGGAGGAAGGGAACCUCCCCUGCGUUGUCUGGCUGCUCUUGGGGGGGAGCGGUGCUGCGAAUUUGUGGGAUUUUUCUUCUUCCAUUGCUUCCUGGCAGUCCCCUAUGGACGAUCGUUUGAGCACCACUGCCUGCUUGUCACAUUUUCCACUCUCAGAAGCGGGUUCCUCCUCAAACUUCUUUUCACCUUUUGGGUUUAAAAGCUGCUUCAGUCGUAGUGACCCUUUUCUUAAAAAUUCCAUGGGAUUUUGCUCUUGUUUUGAACAGUCUUCCUCAGAUUUAUUGAGAGAGCUGUCAGACCCUGGACUCCUAGACAGGCUUUCCAGAGCUGAGGAUGUGGUACUUGUCCUAACUUGUGGUUUCUUCAUUUCUGUGUUGACUAACUUUGGAGUGUCUUCUCUGAAGGUCACCCUGUCCUUCUUCUCUGGAAGAGCCAAUUUCUGAGUGUCUCCUACAUAUAUCAGACUCUCCUUCUCUGGAAGAGCAGGUUUGUUCUCAAUCGGGUAAAACCGAGAUGACAGCUUGUCCACCUUAGUGCCAAGAUGUGCCAGGGGAUCCUUACUCAAUGCAUCCCCAAGCUGGGGGGUGGAUGAGGCCAUUCCGAAUGCUCUGUCCAACUCUCCGUGCAUUUUGUAAGUACUGCAGGAGUCUUUGGAGUCCAGCACCCUGCUCUCCAGAAUCUUAUACUGCACGGAUUUGGUACAUUUCUUCUCCGUGUUCUGUGAUUCCUCCUGGAGGUAACCUGAAACAGCUUUGGUGUGGGUGACUGUGCCCCGCUCCGUGUCCUUGCCCACGGCUUUGUACUUCUCCAGCAGCUCGGCCACUUUGGAGGAGGUGGCCGUCUUGAUGGUUUCAUUGUCCUUCGUCACCUCACUGGACAUCUGCUCUUUUUGGAUCAUCUGCACCUUUUCUAUUGUGGUGUUGGGCUGAUCUAAUUUGGCAGCACUGAAAAUCAGAGAGGACCUGAGCCUGGAACUCCUCUGGAUCAAGGGAUUUAUCCUGGACCUGAAGGCAUCUGGUUUCAUUAUCGAGGUUUCUUCACCUGCUCUAUCAGGAUCCGCAAAUUCCUUGGCACUGUCAAUUCCCAGUGCCUUGCUAUUGAAAGAUGUGGGGGAUUUGAAGGCUGGGAUGAGGUCAGUGGGGUGCUUUGGGAGGGGAUCCCCAAGAGCAUCAUUAUACGCCUCGGACUCCAUCGGCAUCGGGAGCCCUUCAUCCGGUUCAGACUGGUACGCGCUGAGGUACGAAGAUAUCCUCCAGUUCCGUAACCCUGUUCUGUUCUCCUGGGUGUUCUUGUCAUCGUCCUGGUCCUCGUCCUUGUCCUGUAGGAACAAGCGCUGCUCCAGGCUCUGCUUCUGCGUGGGAGAAGUCUGGCAAAUGAAUUUCUGUCCUAUAUUCUGCCUCCGUAACAUCAUUCCCAUCGGGCCAUUGCCUGCAGGGUUCAACUGGUCGGAGCCGUGUCUCACCUCCCUGGAAGAAUUUGAGGGUACGUAAUCCAGCCGUAAGGGGAAACCCUCCUGGGAGAAACUGGGUUCCAGUUCAGGGUAUCGGGGUCCCUCUCCAUAGUCUUCCAGUUCAUUGAAUCCCGGCCUUCCCCCUCGAAUCCUGUCAAAGAAUCCCUGAGGUCUGCCAGAGAGAUGGGGAUGUUCAAACUGGUACUGGUAGAACUGGUCCUUCUGGAAAUGACUGGAUUGGAUUUUGAACUCAUCCAUGUUGUUCAUGAACAUCUGCCGGGCAUACUGCUUGGAAGAAGCAAAAUUUUCAAAUGUUCCUUCUGCAAAACUGUGUCUCUUAAAGGCAUCCAGCUCUAGCUGCUUGGAACGGAGGAAGCCCCUGACCGGGUCCAUCUGGGAAUUCUCCAUUUCCACCUUUUUAUACAUCCUCAUGGCUGAGCCCUCCACGGUGUGCCGCAGCAUGUCAUCCCGCCGAAAGUUGGAGAGGAAGUACCUGUCCGGAUCCACUCUGUCCAUGAAGGAGGGGAAGAGGCUGUCAUCCCUCUGGAACAUCAGGGGGCCUUUUUUGGGAAAGAAAGGCAUGUUAUUGCCAAAGGGAGCCAUGGCGAAGGCAUUCUCUGCCUUUGCCAGGACAUUGGCUGGAGGAACGAGAGGUUCCGACUGUGCAAACAAAAUGCGGAAUUCCUCAUCAAAGCUGGCCACCAGCUCGCCCUGGAAGAUGUGCGCGAUGCUCCUGUGGAUCUUCUCGAAGGACCACAUGAAACUACGGAGAGAACAGAAGUGAUGGAGGGCAUUAGCAUUGAGUAACUCAGCUGGACCCCUUUUCAUUAAAGCGUUUGCUUGCCUGAAGGAAAUUCUGAAUUUUCUGCUCAGGUAGAAAUAUGGCAAAAUAAUGACAGAAAAUUCCCCUGUAGGCACUUGUUACACAUGAUCGUUCCCUAACCUCACAGUUAGCUAUUGAUUUGGGAUCACAUCUUUGCAGAGGAUUUUACAAGGCAACAAAUGACUUCUGUUCUAAAAAGCCAGUCCGUAGUGUCCACAGCCAGAGAAUGAGGGGAUGAUUAUUGGGGAUGAUUAUUGUUGUGUGAAGUAGAUGCUUCUGUCUUUAACACUGUUGAUAAUGUCUGGGACAUCAGUCAGUGUGUGCCCUCUGCACUUGGCAGGUGACACCAGUCAGGGGACCCCAAAGGCUGGGCAGCUGUGCCAAUGGGAACCUCAGGACAUCGAGCAGAGGCAAAUGCAGGAUCUUGCCCCUGCAGUGGCACAACCCUUCCACCCACACAGGCGAGGGGGGACUGGACAGAAGGAGCUGGGCUGGAAAUGAGGGAGGAGGAUGUUCAGUGUUACAGCCUUUGUCUUCCCAAGUCAAGCUCUGCUUUUCUGGGAAUGGCUGGAUAUCUGCCAAGCCGUGGGAAGCAGGGAAGAGAUCCCUUGCUUUGCUUUGCCUGUGUGUGCCUGUUUGCUGUAGGUGUUAAACUGUAUCACAACCCAGGAGUGUUCUCAUGUUUCAGAUUCUCUGCAGUAUCCUGCUAGGAGGUGUGAGGGACACCUGGGUGGGGUUUAGCUGCCUGCUGGGGUUAAGCAAAACCCUUAAAAUUAUUGUCUUUUUUUUUAUAGAUUUUUUAAUUCUUGAUGCGAAGGAAGCCUGGCUUGGGGUGUCUGGGGUCGAGGACUUCUUCAAUUGGUGUAUUGACCUCCACUGCAGUAUGGUGUACUUUACCUGAAAAAUUGCUGCUCAGUAUCCUUCAGUGAGGAAAACUUUUGUCCCUGAUAUCCAUGUGGAAUUGCAAAAUGCUGCUUCACCAACUCACCAGCUUCUCUUAUAGAAUGCCAGACUGAUUUGGGCUGGAAGGGACCAUCGCAACCACCUUGUUCCACUCUCCUGCCAUGGGCAGGGACACCUUCCACUAGCCCAGGCUGCUCCAAGCCCUGUCCAACCUGUAUUUGAACACUUCCACAACUUCCUACUUCAAAAAUGAUACAAUAUUUGAAAACCCAAAGCACAUGAGAGAGUGGCAGAAGUAGUCUUGAACAAUUAACUUGAUGUUCUCAUAAGCAAAAAAUGAUUCAAUUGGAACAGUUAGUUGUUUGGUACAGCAUCAAGUUUGACAAUAAUUCUUUCCAAACAUCGGGAAAAAAGCUCAAGUGGAAUCUUGUUACAAAGAAUGUGCACUUUAUUCAGAUGCCUAUGCUGUGGAUGUUUAUCUUCAUAUACUGUUUUUUAAAAUACCCCUAGUUCUAUUUGCUUAUCUUCCACCAGGAGAAGCAACUCCUGGCAGGCUUUGAGCAACCUGGUGUAGUGGAAGGUCUCCCUGCCAAGAGCGGGGGGUGAAACCAGAUGAGCUUUAAGGUCCCUUCAACCUAAACCAUUCUGUGGUUCUGUGAUUACACGCUUAGAGCAUGACAGGUGUUCAUCCCAUCACGCCUUAAUACUUGAAAGAGAAAUUCUCAUAUUGGAACUCACUAAAAACAUUUAUUCUGCCAACAAUGGAUGCCUUAGCUGGGGAGAUUGUUGUUCCAAAAGAAUGGUAACAUGUUAGUGGCUGAUCUCCAUCCUAACUAAAACCAUCCACCUCUCUGUUGCCCAGAGAAGCUGUGGCUGCCCCAUCUCUGGAAGUGUUCCAGGCCAGGUUGGACAGGGCUUGGAGCAACCUGGUCUAGUGGAAGGUGUCCCUGCACAUGGCAGGGGGUGGGACAAGAUGAGCUUUAAGGUCCAUUCUCACACAAACCAUUCCAUGAUUUGAUGAUUGUAUGAGUGGAGGUUGAAGUUCAUUUGUUCCAGACUAGGAUGCAAGUCUCCAUACACUACAGCAAAUUCUCCUUGGAAGUUACAUGGCUCAGAUGGGAGCUGGGCACCUCUGUAGGCAACCUCUUGCACAAAGCACCUGAGUCUCUCACCACAGGACAGGCACCAUGACAGGGCUCCUCACCUGUAGUUGCCGCUGAGUACCACCAUGCAGUCCACCAGCAGGAACUUCUCCUUCAGGUGCCCUUUGAAGGACAUCCCCGUGCGGCAGUAGUAAGUUGGGCCAGACACUGUCCUCACCCUCAGGAACUGCAAACCAGAAAGGCACUGACUCAGGUGGGACCCUCAUUCCCUCCCCUGCCCCUCCUCCUUCCCCCUCUCCUUUAACCUCCGUCCUGCCACCAGAUUCUCCUACAGCUCUAGUGAUUCUGCCUGCAGACACACAAAUGGACAAAACUUUAUCAGUGUGUCCUCAGCCUUUACCCCUUGUCAUGCCAGCUCUCCCCUCUCUCUUCACAUUCAUCUUUUACCAGGCUCUGGCCUGUUUUCCCCUUUCUCAGGUGUUUCCUGCCACACUAGCCUUCUGUGUCCCAGGACACAUCUGCCUCAGGACAUGACUCAAGCAGGGCAGGUCUUUGCUCACCUCCACAUAGUUCAGGUUGACUCUGCACUUGGCAGCUGUAUCAAGGAAAAGCUGGGAGUUCAUUUCAUCCAGCAGGAUGUAGACAGGCACUCGGCGAGAAGCAGCAUCCAGCACCUCAAAGAGUAGAUCCACGUCUGUGAAAACGUCCAUCACGAUGGCCACCACCUGGGGAGGGAUGCAGGGACACCUCAGCCACCUGUGCCAUCUCAUGCACGACUGUCCAUGUUCCCCAGCACCUCACACCCCAAAGCUGCACUGUCUCCAUCUCCCUUUUGAAACUGGAACUUUCAUUCCAACUUCCUUUUGGAACAGGAAACAUCCCAAUUAAAGGUUCCUUUAACCACUCUGGGCCUGAGAACUGGAAACAAAAUUUCUGUCCAGGAAAUGUUCUGGUAUGAGGUGUGAAGGAAAACUUCACUGCCCCUGAAUGUUCCCUGACUGAUCAA
This is an RNA transcript of Pseudopipra pipra, 13004 nucleotides long. It is a transcript of the gene named mitogen-activated protein kinase 15, with no coding region annotated. The transcript is spliced from 14 exons. NCBI's taxonomy places the organism in Eukaryota, Metazoa, Chordata, Aves, Passeriformes, Pipridae. The record is from RefSeq and is a predicted model, not a curated record.